This is a long non-coding RNA of Myodes glareolus (Bank vole), 1343 nucleotides long. RefSeq lists it as uncharacterized. Lineage: Eukaryota; Metazoa; Chordata; Mammalia; Rodentia; Cricetidae. The record is from RefSeq and is a predicted model, not a curated record.
CUCCAGUAGCUCCGUGUGUGUUCUGGAUUGAUUCUGUCCGCUCCCUCCCCCCGGAAAAUACCAAGCUGAAGAGAACGUGUUUAGCUCACCAUGAUGACGUGAGGAAGAUUGCAGGCCCUACUUCCUUACGCAGAAGAGAGAAGCAGCAAGCGCCAAUGUAAGGGAAGAGAAGGGUUUGCAGUCACCCUUCACCAAACAGGAGGCCGUUUGGGCAAACUCGCAAGCUAUGAGUCUCCGAGACUGAGCAGGACAGGCAAGCGAGGACGCUGUAGAGGACAGAAAAAGCAAGCUUCCCCUCGAAAGGGUUGCCUAACCUGGCACCGACCUGCGUUUUCCACCAAGUCACCUCCAUUGCCAGGAAUGCCAGAAGCCCGUGGCGGGACCAGACGAAAGGAGGAGUCUCCCCGGGGAGAACAUUCUAGGCCCGCCAAAUUAAAAAUGAGUGAGAAGGAGAAGGAAGAGACUCUAGCACCCAACUCGUGCCAGAGGGACUUGCCUGGGAUGUUCUCUGUGCUCCUCCCCUACCCGCUGCCUGGGCAGUUCUUGCGGGGCUACUACCCCGGCGCUAGAACCAGGGAGAAGUUUCGCCGCUGCAAACGUGAGAAAAUGCAGCUCCGCAGGACACCGCCCCCACACGCCCCACCCCACAGCCCGACCCCUGGCGGUGGCGACCUUGGUCACCCCGAAGGACCCAGUGCUCGGAGGAGGGGCUGCUCUCGGGGUUUUCCUGGGAGCUAGGGAGGUCGCCAGCUUAGGGCCACCUCCGGUCGCCUUGCACCACCCGGACUGGCGCCACCAAGCCCGCAAACCCCACUCCUCUCGGCCAGUGCCCCGGCCCUUGCGCCUCUCCACACGACUCACCGCGCUGUGCGCAGCAAGGGUCGCAUCGGGUCCCAGGGCUCUGCGCCUCGGGGCUGCGGCUCCCCGCCCGUCCUGCCGCUCUCUUCUUCCCCCACCCUCUGCUGUCUUCCACGCCGUCUCGAAUCUUUUUUCCGGGUUAAUUACGUUUCGCAUUAAAGCAAAACCCAGCCCCGGAUGCACCACCGUGUCUCACUGAAUCCUGAGUUUGCUGAUUCAGCUAGUCUAAAUAAAGAAGCUUGCCUGGAAUCCCUCAUCUCUGCUCCCGAGUGGUGGUUCAUUAUUAGGGCACAGUGCCUACCCAGCUCUUCUGUGAGUCCCGGAGAUCCAAACUCCAGUCCUCAUGCUUAGGCAGCAAACGCUUGCCUUCACUGAGCUCACUCUCUAGCCCAUGCUUAUUUUAUUUUUUGCAGAAAUGCAUGUGUGUAUCUAGUUAUCAAAAGAACAACAGUUAAGUUUUAAUAAAGGUUGGGACUGGAGACGUG